This 1385-nucleotide ribosomal RNA is filed under the name uncultured bacterium. RNAcentral describes it as "bacterial SSU rRNA". It matches the Rfam family "Bacterial small subunit ribosomal RNA". The record is from RNAcentral.
AGAGUUUGAUCCUGGCUCAGGAUGCCUUCUGGCGGCGUGCUUAACACAUGCAAGUCGAACGAAGCACCUUGAGAUCUUCGGAAGGAAAGGUGACUGAGUGGCGGACGGGUGAGUAACGCGUGGGUAACCUGCCUCAUACAGGGGGAUAACAGUUAGAAAUGACUGCUAAUACCGCAUAAGCGCACGAUACCGCAUGGUAUUGUGUGAAAAACUCCGGUGGUAUGAGAUGGACCCGCGUCUGAUUAGCUAGUUGGUGGGGUAACGGCCUACCAAGGCGACGAUCAGUAGCCGACCUGAGAGGGUGACCGGCCACAUUGGGACUGAGACACGGCCCAAACUCCUACGGGAGGCAGCAGUGGGGAAUAUUGCACAAUGGGCGAAAGCCUGAUGCAGCGACGCCGCGUGAGCGAAGAAGUAUUUCGGUAUGUAAAGCUCUAUCAGCAGGGAAGAAAAUGACGGUACCUGACUAAGAAGCACCGGCUAAAUACGUGCCAGCAGCCGCGGUAAUACGUAUGGUGCAAGCGUUAUCCGGAUUUACUGGGUGUAAAGGGAGCGUAGACGGCUGUGCAAGUCUGAUGUGAAAACCCGGGGCUCAACCCCGGGUAUGCAUUGGAAACUGUGCAUCUAGAGUUGCCGGAGAGGUAAGCGGAAUUCUUAUUGUUGCGGUAAAAUGUGUAGCUUUUUUAGGAACACCAGUGGCGUAGGUGGCUUAUUGGACGUUAACUUCUGUUGAGGCUCCAAAAGAGUGGGGACCCCUUUGAAGUAUAUACCCUCAUAUUCCACACAAUAAACGCCCCUUUAAAGGGUGUUGGUCAGCAAAUCUGUUCGGUCCCGCAGCAAACGCAAUAAGUAGUCCCCCUGGGGAGGGACGUUGCCAAGAAUGAAACUUCAAGGGAAUGACGGGGACCCCCACCAAGCGGUGGAGCAUGUGGUUAAUUCGAAGCAACGCGAAGAACCUUACCUGGUCUGGACAUCCGGAUGACCGCUGGGUAAUGCCAGCUUUUCUUCGGAACAUCCGAGACAGGUGGUGCAUGGUUGUCGUCAGCUCGUGUCGUGAGAUGUUGGGUUAAGUCCCGCAACGAGCGCAACCCCUAUCUUCAGUAGCCAGCAUUAAGGAUGGGCACACUGGAGAGACUGCCAGGGAUAACCUGGAGGAAGGUGGGGAUGACGUCAAAUCAUCAUGCCCCUUAUGACCAGGGCUACACACGUGCUACAAUGGCGUAAACAAAGGGAAGCGACCCUGUGAAGGUGAGCAAAUCUCAAAAAUAACGUCUCAGUUCGGAUUGUAGUCUGCAACUCGACAACAUGAAGCUGGAAUCGCUAGUAAUCGCGAAUCAGAAUGUCGCGGUGAAUACGUUCCCGGGUCUUGCACACAACGCCCGUCA